RNAcentral lists this ribosomal RNA (431 nucleotides) under uncultured bacterium. RNAcentral describes it as "partial 16S ribosomal RNA". It matches the Rfam family "Bacterial small subunit ribosomal RNA", at positions 29 to 505 of the family's 1533-position model. The record is from RNAcentral.
AACGAACGCUGGCGGCAUGCCUAACACAUGCAAGUCGAACGAGACCUUCGGGUCUAGUGGCGCACGGGUGCGUAACGCGUGGGAACCUGCCUUUAGGUUCGGAAUAACUCAGAGAAAUUUGAGCUAAUACCGGAUGAUGUCUUCGGACCAAAGAUUUAUCGCCUUUAGAUGGGCCCGCGUUGGAUUAGCUAGUUGGUGGGGUAAAGGCCUACCAAGGCGACGAUCCAUAGCUGGUCUGAGAGGAUGAUCAGCCACACUGGAACUGAGACACGGCCCAGACUCCUACGGGAGGAAGCAGGGGGGAAAAUUGGACAAUGGGCGAAAGCCUGACCCAGCAAUGCCGGGUGAGUGAUGAAGGCCUUGGGGUUGUAAAGCUCUUUUACCCGAGAUGAAAAGGACAGUAUGGGGAGAAUAAGCUCCGGCUAACUCCG